Molecule: ribosomal RNA, 253 nt
Filed under: uncultured bacterium
Lineage: Bacteria
Description: partial 16S ribosomal RNA
Rfam family: Bacterial small subunit ribosomal RNA
Source: RNAcentral
UACGUAGGUGGCAAGCGUUGUCCGGAUUUAUUGGGUUUAAAGGGUGCGUAGGCGGCUUUGUAAGUCAGUGGUGAAAUAUGGCAGCUCAACUGUCAAGGUGCCAUUGAUACUGCAGAGCUUGAGUACAGAUGAGGUAGGCGGAAUUGACGGUGUAGCGGUGAAAUGCUUAGAUAUCGUCAAGAACACCGAUAGCGAAGGCAGCUUACUAGGCUGUAACUGACGCUGAGGCACGAAAGUGUGGGGAUCAAACAGG